CAGAACCUGGAGAAAAUGCCCCCACCCCUAUAACUCAGCAUUUCCCCAAAUCCAGGCUUUUCUGGGAGCAAACGACCAGGCACAGUCGGCUCAGGGGCUCCACCUUCUGUCCAGAUCAUGACACAAGAGAGACUAGUGCCAAGGACGUCAUAGGCAGAUGGGAGGAAACUUACAGGCCUCUACUCCACCCCUGGCACCUUUCCCAAGGCCCCUCCUCAACCUUCAGCCCCCAGGGGCCUCUGAAUUGGGAUCUCAGUUUGUCCCCGCCCUGCUUCGACCCAACUUGAAUGCCUCAGGGGUGGAGCCUAUAGACGCAGGCUCCUCCUCAGGACAAAAGCCCCAGCUGGUUUGUAAACAGUCAUUAGCGAAGAACCACAUCCCAGCAAAUGGCCUUUAUGGAUUUCAAAAUGGAAUAAACUACAUAGAAUAUUCAAGAAGCAAAUAAUUUCCUUUGACAAAUAACAAAAAGGCCAAAGCUGAGGCCCUACUAUUGAGAUCACAUCAUCUACAGGGAACCCCUCACAAGACCCACAGCUGUCCAUCAAGACAAUGGCUUUUCAUUUUUGAUGACCCCAUUUCAAACAUAUGUGGUCUACUUUGUGCUGUUUCUUACAGCCACUCUAAUGUUCAGUGUUGGUUAUGUUGUCAGGACCAAGAAAAACAGACCAAUUCUGACAGGUGUACAUUUUAUUGGAAACCUUAAAUACUCUUCAGACAGAACACAAUGUCUUCAAUCAAGGCUCUGAUUGUGGCCUAAGGAGUAAACAGAUUUUUGGAUUAGGGGCAAGGAAAAGUACAGCACAGAGGACAAGCGCUUAGUUUGCCAAAAGGAUUUCCUCACGAAUGCUCUUCAGCCAGUUUAUCAGCUUUUGCCACAGCUUCCUCAAUGGGUCCCACCAUAUAGAAGGCCUGUUCUGGGAGAUGGUCAUAUUCACCUGUAUGGGAAAAAAAUUCAAUGGUGAGAAGUGGAAUGAUAAACUUUUUGUGGUAUAUAAAUACUUCACCACUUGGGGCAACCAGUCAGAAUAUGAUAAAUGUGUGUCAUCCAAGAAAUCUUUUAACAAACUUCUGUCUUAAAUCCAAUUUACAAGACGAUAUAGUAGGGAUUAAGAAUAAAUGGUCCUGGGGCGCCUGAGUGGCUCAGUCGGCUAAGCGUCCGACUUCAGCUCAGGUCACGAUCUCGCGGUCCAUGAGUUCGAGCCCCGCGUCGGGCUCUGGGCUGAUGGCUCAGAGCCUGGAGCCUGUUUCCGAUUCUGUGUCUCCCUCUCUUUCUGCCCCUCCCCCGUUCAUGCUCUGUCUCUCUCUGUCCCAAAAAUAAAUAAACGUAAAAAAAAAAAAGAA
This is a long non-coding RNA of Panthera uncia (snow leopard), 1341 nucleotides long. RefSeq lists it as uncharacterized. Lineage: Eukaryota; Metazoa; Chordata; Mammalia; Carnivora; Felidae. The record is from RefSeq and is a predicted model, not a curated record. The transcript is spliced from 2 exons.